UACGUAGGGUGCGAGCGUUGUCCGGAAUUAUUGGGCGUAAAGAGCUCGUAGGCGGCUUGUCGCGUCGGAUGUGAAAGCCCGGGGCUUAACUCCGGGUCUGCAUUCGAUACGGGCAGGCUAGAGUUCGGUAGGGGAGAUCGGAAUUCCUGGUGUAGCGGUGAAAUGCGCAGAUAUCAGGAGGAACACCGGUGGCGAAGGCGGAUCUCUGGACCUCUGCUGACGCUGAGGCGCGAAAGCGUGGGGAGCGAGCCGG
RNAcentral lists this ribosomal RNA (253 nucleotides) under uncultured bacterium. RNAcentral's name for it is "partial 16S ribosomal RNA". It matches the Rfam family "Bacterial small subunit ribosomal RNA", at positions 524 to 776 of the family's 1533-position model. The record is from RNAcentral.